This 5885-nucleotide long non-coding RNA is filed under the name Medicago truncatula (barrel medic). RNAcentral describes it as "long non-coding RNA (MTRU_LNC005801)". The record is from RNAcentral. Lineage: Eukaryota; Viridiplantae; Streptophyta; Magnoliopsida; Fabales; Fabaceae.
ACCUUAUAAGUUACAACAAUUAGGGUUUGUGGAGAAGGAUGGAUGGAGAUAGCUCUCUAAACUAAAGAAUCAAUACAGAAGAUGGAGGAGGAUGCGGCGGUGAUGGAUGGAGAAGGAGGAGAGUGGUCGCGGUUCGCCGGCGGUGGUGUGGUGGUGGAUGUUGUUCGGUCGGAUUUGCUUUGGCUGGGAGAAGAAAAAAGAGGAACGCGCAUCAGAUUGAAGGGAAAGGGGAAGAGGAAAUGAAAUUGAAUUGGUAAUAUUGAUAUUAAUAAAGGGUAUUGAAGUAAUUUCCUGUGUAUAAUUUUUUUUUUUUUUUUUUUAAAGAUGGGGUGGCAGCGGUGGCUCGCCCUUGCCACCCGCAGUUCCGCCACUAUAUCAAUAUAUAAAGAAAAUACAUCAAUUUGGGUAAAUCUCGUUAAAAUAUAAACGAUUAUAAUAGUAUUUAGACGUAUAAGUUAAUAAAGAGGUUUUGAUAUUCUCUAACUUAAAUAUUCAUUGUUCAAGAUUUUACAUGGUAAAAAUCACACAUUUUUUCAAAUUACAUUUUUCAAAACUGAUUUUUAUGAAAAGCUAUUUGAAAUAGCUUUUUUUUAGAGAUUAUUUCAAAAUUUUAGUAUAAAAAAAAAAUAUAACAAAAUGAUGAAAUACUUAGAGAGACGUUUUAAGAUAAGUUAUUCAAACGAAUUUUUCAUUUGAAUAUUUCCUUAAAAAUUUCUUUAUUGAAAAAUUAUAACAAAACUAUAUUAGACUACAAAAAUCCAUUUAAAAAAAAUUAUAGCAAACAUGCCUAAAUUAAUACCAAAAAUGGGGCUAGGUGUAACACCCUAAUCCCAACAAAUAUUUUAGAAAAUUGUUGUUCUUACUUCAAAAACAUCAUAUUAACGCAUGUAAAUUCCUUAAAAGCCCUUCAGGGGUAGUUAACUACCGUUGAGGAAGCCGGCAACAGUUAACUGCCGCUGGCCUCAGCAGUAGUUAAUUAUCGCUGCGUGAGAUACAUAUUCUAGCCAGUGACCGGAAUUCAGACACUCCAUCAUCACCAUCUUCUCUCUAAAAAUUAUAAAUUUUCACUCUCUUUCUCUCUCAAAACUCUACCAAACUAUCCAAAAAAAUUUCCACUCAAUUACAAGUAAGUUAUCACUUAUGCUAUUGUCAUAAAUUUUAGUUAAUUAUAUAUGUUUAUAAUUUUAGUUGUAAACUCCAAGAUCCCAAGCCAACCAUUGGACCAACCCCAAAUUGGUUUCUAAUAAUGACAAUCUUAUUUCAGAAUUUGUCACAUAAAGCUUAUAAAUAAUUUUUGAAAUCUCGCUAAAAUCAUCCCCAACACAUGUAAAGGUAAAAAGUCAGCAUCCAUAAUUUAUGAGUUCCCCGAAAUUUGACCUCUUGGUUUUCAAAAAAUCUCAUACAAGUUGGACGACCAUCCUCCCUUUCUUUUCCCUACUUGCUCGACGGGUGAAUCUUGCUGUUAAUCUCUGUUCUGCUUGUGCAGCGGAGGGCAGUGGCGGAGUCAGGAAUUUCGCAGAUCCUGGGCAAAAUAUUUUGCCAAUUAUUUCCGGAAUAUAUAUUAAACAAUUUUAUAAUAUUAGAGAAAUUGUGUAUUGGUGCAGUGGUUUGUUUUGUUGAAACUAACAUGAACGGCGGUUCAAGUCCCAAUAGAACCACUUUUUUUGAAUAAAAAUAUUUUUAAUACAAUAGAAAAUAAAAAAAGAGAGUUACCAUGGAUCGGACCCACGCCCUAGGGGCAUUAGGGAGCGCGCCUAUCCACUGCAACACCAUGUAACAUAUGAUAUAUUAUGGAUAAUAUUAUAAUUGUAGGUAAGUUGAGGAUUGCAGUGGCACUUAUGGGUCUCCUACGAGAUCCGGGACUGAGCCCGGGCGUGUGCCCAGGCUAGCUGGGUGGUAAAACCGCCCCUGGCGGAGGGUCCAUCUCCGUCGUGCCCAGGAAACAUUUACACGCAUCCAUUACUUUUUGGGGUGCCUUCACCACAAAAAUUGUUCACCUAAGAUUGGUCCUUGAUUUGUAUCAUGACACAAUGUAAGAAUUUUAGCUCUUCUAUAGUAUCUCACUGAAGGCACGGCUCAACAGAAGGAGGUCUUCUUUGCCCUCCACCAAAGUUACACAAGAAAAGUCCAAAGUCGAUCUCAAUAAACACAGAAGCUUCAUAGGGAUUUCCUAUCCGGUUCUACACCUUCACAUGUAUGUCUAUUUCACCAAAUCUCUCUUCCGUAGGGGUGUGGAAACAGCACGGGAAUCACACCUUAUUCGGGAGUUCUCUUUGCUUUGUGAGUUAUAAAUACUAUAUAAUAGUUCCCAAAAUUCCUCCCAAUACAUUUUUUGAAGUUACCUAAAAUCACACCUUUGGUUUUGGUUUUGAUUGCACUUCUUUUUAAAAAUGUAGAUUAUAUAUCAUUUUCGUAUUUCUUGAAAAAUUAGUUGCUCAUAUUUUAGUUUUUGAAUUUAAGUCCUCAAUUUUACAAAUUGAACGGUUGUCAACUAUGUUCAAGAACUACAAACAAAAAUAAAUAAAUCAUCUCCUAUAAGAAAAAUAACUAUAUUUUUAUUCUUUUUAAACAAUAACCUCAUGUUUCUAUCAAAUCCUUCAAAUUUAAAACAAUUUCUAAAAUCUGAAAGAGUAAAAUGAUAAAGCACAAUAAAAUUUGUUAAAUGUGAACCACAAGAUUUAUAACUACACUGUGUGCAAUUUAUAAUCAAUUCUAUGAGAACUUGAAUCCAAUUGCCUGGUUGAUAAUUCAAAAAUGUUUUGUAAGAUGCAACGCCAACGAGGAUAUACAAUGCAUUAAACAAAACGCAAAACUAGAUUAACAAUCUAUCCGCUGAAAGUAAACCUGUUGGCCGUUGAUGAAGACGGCAACACAAAAACUGCAAUUGCAUGUCUAGUAGAAAAGAAACCAAAAUCAACUUUCAAUCAUUGGUUCAGGGUCAGAUGUUUCUGUACGAGACUUGUUAGCUUGAUGAACAGAGUUGAACAGGAUGUCCUUGAUUACCUGCAUCCAACAAAUUCAGUAUAAUAUUUUAGCCGUUAGAAAUAUUUUACAUAUUUUUCUUUUUUUGGUAGGAGGAUGGUGUUGGCAAUUACCUGUGACAUUAAACCAUGCACUUGUUCAACAGUUAUUUUUGCACUAUCACGAGUGAUCUUAGCAAGUGGAGAUUCUUCCUGCGAAUCAUUUGAGAAUUUGAUAUGUCAGAAUGAAAAAUUAACCCGGGUGAUGGCUCAGAAAGUUAAUAGUGUAGAUAACAUCAAAUAGAUAACAGUUUAUCAUGCAUUUGCAUGGUCAAGAUUGGUUCUAUGCCAUGGGCUGAAGAUUGCUCCAAACUAAAAAACAUUUAUCUAUAUCUGUUCAUAAUGGAAAAUGAAGAAUGACGAGGCAAUACAGCACAGUGAGCAUAAACUAAUCAAACAUCAAAAUAUUCUGAUACAGCACUGUAUGGCCGGUGCACACAAACAGGCAGUUUCUUUGAUGAAACUUGUACAAAAAAAUAAAAAUAAUAUGAGAGAUUGUGUGAUGGUGAGGGAUGAAUGAUGAGUAUGCAUAGCACACUAGUANCAACUUAUAGCAUAUGCGCUUAUUUAUAAGCUUCUCCUAUAACUAAGAUAAAAUAAAGUUAAAUUGUUUUCAUUUUAGCUAUAAGCUGUUUUCAUAAGCAUUGUUGGAGAGCUUAUGAAAGUAAGUUGAAAACAACUUACAAACGUGUCUUAUGUUGUUUUCAUAAGUUCUUGCAAACAGUCUCACAAGUGCUUAUUUCAGUAAAUAAGUACAAAUAAGUCAAACCAAACAGGUCUUAAGUGCUUAUGUAUAAGCUACUUCUAAUUUUCUAUAACAUAAGAUAAAAUAAACUCAAACUGUUAUCAUAUAAGAUAUUAUUUUCUAGAAUAGCUCAUGAAAACAACUUAUGACUUAUACGACAACAUUUUGACUUUAUAUUAUCAUAUCUUAUCUAAUACAUAAGCACUUACAUAAAAUGUGUUUAUGCAAUAAGUGCUUAAUUAAGCUAUUUAUCCUAACAUGGCAUCAUUAGUUUAUGAAAUCAAUGAAAAUAAAUGUUAUACUACUGACAUGUCCCUACACUGUUUUCACCUUUUCUUCCAUAAGCUCUCUAGGAUAGCUUAUGAAAAUAUCCUAUAAAUUAUGAAAAACAUUUUGACUUUAUAUUAUGAUACAUAAUACACAGGCACUUACAUGAAACAUGUUUAUGCAAUAAGCGCUUAAUUAAGCUAUUUACCUAAACCGGGCAUUAUUAGUUUCAAAAUUCAUAAGUUAUGCGAGAUUGUUUGAAAGAACUUACGAAAACAACUUAUGACAUGUUCAUAAGUUGUUUUCAUCUUAUUUUGGUACACUCUCCAAGAUAGUUUAUGAAAACAGUUUAUAGACAUAUCUUAUUUUGGUACACUCAUACGAAAAAAUUUAACUUCACUUUAUCUUUUACUAUAGACUUAGCUUAUAUACAUAAGUGUUUAUGCUAUGAGCUGCAACUAAGGUGUUUAUCCAAACAUGACCAAUAUAUAAAUAUGUCAAGACAUGUGUUUUCAAACACAUUACAUGUUGUGGCAACACAUGAUUAGAUGCAUGUGUAAAAUAAUAAUUUUACAUCGACAACGCAUAUAUAAAGGGAUAUAAAAGAGUGGAUUUGAAUGUAACCUCUUCCCAUUUAGUUUGAAGUUCCAAAAGCUCUUGACAGUAAUGAAGACAUUCAUUAUGAUAUGCAACAGCUAAGUCUUUGAUCAAAGCUUUUCUUUUGAUGAUACCAACCACUUCAAUUAAUCAAAAAUUAUUUUUUUUUUAAUCAUUUAUCAAAAGCUAAACUCAUAAUUGCAAUGUAUGAAAUUGAAACCCUAAAUUCAGUAAAAAUUGAAUGUGUGAGAAAAUUGAAAAGAGAAUGAAAAGAAAGAAGGAAAGUUACUUCGACUGGGAUCAAAUGGUAAUGGUGGGUCGGAAGAUGGAGGGAGAUUUUGCUCUUGCUCUUGCUCUUGCUCUUGUUCGUUUUUAUUUGAGGGAUGCUCUUGUUCUUCUUCUUCCGCCAUUGAUGAAGCUUCUGCGAGUUCUAAUAAAACAUGGUAGUUGUUGAAGUAGCUCAAACAGGUGACACGUGUCCAAAAGGGUAAUUUAGGUUUUACCACAGCAUCUUCUUUUCUUAUAUUUAAGAAGGAUUUGUACCACUGUGUAUAAUAAUAAUUUUUAAAUAACACCUAUAAAACUCUCAAAGCACAAGAAACAACAUGAAAUAAACACAAACACAUAGUGCGCAAUCCCCAAAAGAUUUUUCAUGAAAACCCAUUCCGUAUUACUAAAAUUGAAUUAUCAAACCCCAUUAUAGACCUUAUAACAAUACUCAAUCCACCAAUCAAAAUAAAACAACCCCACAAAAGAAACUCCAAAACAAAAACAAAACCAUUUGUUCAUUUCAACUUCAACCAUUUCAUAGAGACAUAAACACAAACACCUAGAGAUAAGCAGAACAUUCUUGUCUUACUAAAACAUUUUUGUAGCAAUCACUAGCAAUCAAAAACUCAAAAAUUCAAUUUCACAUUACUAAAUCAUUACUAAAUACACAUACAAAAUUACAAAUCAUUACCAGAAUAUUAAAUUCAAUUUCACAUUACUAAAGAACAUGUAAUCAUCAAAUCAGAAUCAGAAUUGAAGGAAAUUACAUUCAAAUUAGGGUUUGUGGAGAAGGAUGGAUGGAGAUAGCUCUCUAAACUAAAGAAUCAAUACAGAAGAUGGAGGAGGAUGCGGCGGUGAUGGAUGGAGAAGGAGGAGAGUGGUCGCGGUUCGCCGGCGGUGGUGUGGUGGUGGAUGUUGUUCGGUCGGAUUUGCUUUGGCUGGGAGAAGAAAAAAGAGGAACGCGCAUCAGAUUGAAGGGAAAGGGG